Non-coding RNA from Phrynosoma platyrhinos (Desert horned lizard), 73 nucleotides. The record is from the annotation of a GenBank genome assembly. NCBI's taxonomy places the organism in Eukaryota, Metazoa, Chordata, Lepidosauria, Squamata, Phrynosomatidae.
AACAGGGUGGUUCAGUGGUCUGAGUGUUGGACUAGGACUCAGAGAGACCAAGGUUCGAAUCCCUGCUUGGCCA